This 928-nucleotide long non-coding RNA is filed under the name Mustela putorius furo (domestic ferret). RNAcentral describes it as "lncRNA (ENSMPUG00000031034.1)". Lineage: Eukaryota; Metazoa; Chordata; Mammalia; Carnivora; Mustelidae. The record is from RNAcentral.
CUUGACCAGUCUCCUUGUCACCUCCCUGCCAACACAGUCUCCUUCCUCAAUGCAUUCUUAAGAUGCCCGUUCUAAGCAGAAUCAACAGAGCAGGGUUGGCUUCAUGGGUGAGUGACUUGAAGAAUGUCAUCCAGAAAACGUGACCGCUGAUUGACCCAUGAGCUGAAUGGACCUUGGGGGCAGUAGAGCACGCACGCGAACAGAAGAGAUGCCUGAAAUAAAUAUGUCUGUGGUUGUUUGCCGCCCGUUUGCUGAAGAACAUUCUGGAUGCUCUGAUGGAUCCACAGCAUGUGGCAGUGGCAGUUCAGUGAGAUUCAAAGCUAGGAUCAGCAAAAGGACACAUAUUAAGGUCAGCCAAGGGCAGAGGCUCCUGGAGCAGAGUCCAAGAGAAUUCCACAAAUGGAGCUUCCAGUUGUCCCCUCCUAGUGGAGUCAAGGACAGUGCCAACAUCUUCCAGCAACAACAGGUGAUGACAUACAGGGAAGCCCCUCUAAGGCUUGGGGUCCAGAGACUGUACUGGGGCUCUGUCACAUCAACAUAAGGGACUCGCCAUGUGGCUGACCUUGAGUCUCCAUCGCCUCCAGAGGUUGGACUGACAUUGCGUGGUCAAGCCUAAAUCACAUCGUUAUACUUUCUGGCAUGGUCUAAGGCCCCCAGGUGAAGGAAAACACUCUUAAAAGGCAGGACAUUCCAAGGGCUUCGAGAUCGCCUCCUGGAAGCAAGAGCAAAGGCGAGGCUUCUUUUUGGGAAGGGUGGGUCCUUCCUUGCACAUCAAGUAAUGCUUCUGGGAAAACAAAGAAGAUGAGGAAAAUCCAAAGUAGCAAGAGUACAGGGACCCGGUCCAGUCGUGCUCUGUUGUGGGAGCAUAAGCGAUUAUAACGUAACCUAGGCAGCGAAAUACACUCGUGCUUGCUUGGUGGAAAUAAAC